Molecule: ribosomal RNA, 447 nt
Filed under: uncultured bacterium
Lineage: Bacteria
Description: partial 16S ribosomal RNA
Rfam family: Bacterial small subunit ribosomal RNA
Source: RNAcentral
AGCGAACGCUGGCGGCAGGCUUAACACAUGCAAGUCAAACGCCCCGCAAGGGGAUUGGCAGACGGGUGAGUAACACGUGGGAACGUACCCUUUGGUUCGGAAUAACUUGGGGAAACUCAAGCUAAUACCGGAUAAGCCCUUAUGGGGAAAGGUUUACUGCCGAAGGAUCGGCCCGCGUCUGAUUAGCUAGUUGGUGAGGUAAUGGCUCACCAAGGCGACGAUCAGUAGCUGGUCUGAGAGGAUGAUCAGCCACACUGGGACUGAGACACGGCCCAGACUCCUACGGGAGGCAGCAGUGGGGAAUAUUGGACAAUGGGGGCAACCCUGAUCCAGCCAUGCCGCGUGAGUGAUGAAGGCCUUAGGGUUGUAAAGCUCUUUUACCCGGGACGAUAAUGACUGUACCGGGAGAAUAAGCCCCGGCUAACUUCGUGCCAGCAGCCGCGGUAA